RNAcentral lists this ribosomal RNA (460 nucleotides) under uncultured bacterium. Its description in RNAcentral is "partial 16S ribosomal RNA". It matches the Rfam family "Bacterial small subunit ribosomal RNA", at positions 338 to 795 of the family's 1533-position model. The record is from RNAcentral.
CCUACGGGAGGCAGCAGUGAAGAAUAUUGGUCAAUGGGCGCGAGCCUGAACCAGCCAAGUAGCGUGAAGGAUGACUGCUCUACGGGUUGUAAACUUCUUUUAUAAAGGAAUAAAGUGAGGCACGUGUGCCUUUCUGUAUGUACUUUAUGAAUAAGGAUCGGCUAACUCCGUGCCAGCAGCCGCGGUAAUACGGAGGAUCCGAGCGUUAUCCGGAUUUAUUGGGUUUAAAGGGAGCGUAGUUGGGUUGUUAAGUCAGUGGUGAAAGUUUGCGGCUCAACCGGAGAAUUGCAAUUGAUACUGGCAGUCUUGAGUACAGUUGAGGUAGGCGGAAUUCGUGGUGUAGCGGUGAAAUGCUUAGAGAUCACGAAGAACACCGAUUGCGAAGGCAGCUUACUAAACUGUAACUGACAUUGAGGCUCGAAAGUGUGGGUAUCAAACAGGAUUAGAGACCCGGGUAGUC